CCUACGGGAUGCAGCAGUGGGGAAUAUUGCACAAUGGGCGCAAGCCUGAUGCAGCCGUGCCGCGUGUAUGAGGAAGGCCUUCGGGUUGUAAAGUACUUUCAGCGGGGAGGAAGGUGUUGAGGUUAAUAACCUCAGCAAUUGACGUUACCCGCAGAAGAAGCACCGGCUAACUCCGUGCCAGCAGCCGCGGUAAUACGGAGGGUGCAGGCGUUAAUCGGAGUUACUGGGCGUAAAGCGCACGCAGGCGGUCUGUCAAGUCGGAUGUGAAAUCCCCGGGCUCAACCUGGGAACUGCAUUCGAAACUGGCAGGCUAGAGUCUUGUAGAGGGGGGUAGAAUUCCAGGUGUAGCGGUGAAAUGCGUAGAGAUCUGGAGGAAUACCGGUGGCGAAGGCGGCCCCCUGGACAAAGACUGACGCUCAGGUGCGAAAGCGUGGGGAGCAAACAGGAUUAGAUACCCCAGUAGUC
RNAcentral lists this ribosomal RNA (465 nucleotides) under uncultured bacterium. RNAcentral's name for it is "bacterial SSU rRNA". It matches the Rfam family "Bacterial small subunit ribosomal RNA", at positions 338 to 795 of the family's 1533-position model. The record is from RNAcentral.